NCGCGUUGAUUAAGUCCCUGCCCUUUGUACACACCGNCCGUCGCUACUACCGAUUGGAUGGUUUAGUGAGGUCCUCGGAUCGGCCCCGCCGAGGUCGCCCGCGGCCGCCGGCGGANNGCCGAGAAGACGAUCAAACUUGACUCUCUAGAGGAAGUAAAAGUCGUAACAAGGUUUCCGUAGNUGAACCUGCGGAAGGAUCAUUA
This 203-nucleotide ribosomal RNA is filed under the name Tetraodon nigroviridis (spotted green pufferfish). Its description in RNAcentral is "partial 18S ribosomal RNA". It matches the Rfam family "Eukaryotic small subunit ribosomal RNA", at positions 1636 to 1831 of the family's 1831-position model. The record is from RNAcentral. Lineage: Eukaryota; Metazoa; Chordata; Actinopteri; Tetraodontiformes; Tetraodontidae.